This 2895-nucleotide ribosomal RNA is filed under the name Clostridium sp. SY8519. Its description in RNAcentral is "bacterial LSU rRNA". It matches the Rfam family "Bacterial large subunit ribosomal RNA". The record is from RNAcentral. Lineage: Bacteria; Bacillati; Bacillota; Clostridia; Eubacteriales; Clostridiaceae.
GGUUAAGCAAGAAAGAGCGCAGGGUGGAUGCCUUGGCACUGAGAGCCGAUGAAAGACGUGAUAAGCUGCGAAAAGCCGUGGAGAGGCGCACAUAGCCCGUGACCCACGGAUUUCUGAAUGGGGAAACCCCCAUGAGAAGACCUCAUGGAUCCAUACGUGAAUUCAUAGCGUAUGGAGGGGAACCCGGCGAACUGAAACAUCUAAGUAGCCGGAGGAAGAGAAAGAAACAUCGAUUCCGCCAGUAGCGGCGAGCGAACGCGGAAGAGCCCAAACCAUGGUGCGUGCACCAUGGGGUUCGGACCACAUCAGGUGAUCGGACAACUUCAGCAGAACUGCUUUGGGAAAGCAGGCCAGAGAGGGUGAAAGCCCCGUACGCGAAGGAGGCGUCCGCGCCGUGGGAUCCAGAGUACAUCGAGACACGUGGAACCUUGAUGGAAGGAGCGGGGACCACCCCGUAAGGCUAAAUACUCCUCAGUGACCGAUAGCGCAUAGUACUGUGAAGGAAAGGUGAAAAGGACCCCGGGAGGGGAGUGAAAAAGAACCUGAAACCCUGUGUUUACAAACUGUCAAAGCACCGUAUGCGUGCGAUGGCGUACUUUUUGUAGAACGGUCCGGCGAGUUGUGCAUACUGGCAAGGUUAAGGGGUUCAGCCCCGGAGCCGAAGGGAGACCAAGUCUUAAGAGGGCGAGAAGUCAGUGUGUGCAGACCCGAAACCGGGUGACCUAUCCAUGUGCAGGUUGAAGAUGCCGUAAAAGGCAUUGGAGGACCGAACCCACAUCCGUUGAAAAGGGUGGGGAUGACGUGUGGAUAGGGGAGAAAUUCCAAUCGAACCCGGAGAUAGCUGGUUCUCCUCGAAAUAGCUUUAGGGCUAGCCUCAUGGGAGUCUCGCGGAGGUAGAGCACUGAAUUUCUGAGGGGGCGUCAAAGCUUACCAAAGAAUAUCAAACUCCGAAUGCCGCAGAGAUGGUCCAUGGGAGUCAGACCGCAUGAGAUAAGUCGGGCGGUCAAAAGGGAAACAGCCCAGACCUGCAGCUAAGGUCCCAAAGUGUGUGUUAAGUGGAAAAGGAUGUGGGAUUUCGAAGACAGCUAGGAUGUUGGCUCAGAAGCAGCCAUUCAUUCAAAGAGUGCGUAACAGCUCACUAGUCGAGAGGUCCUGCGCCGAAAAUGUCCGGGGCUCAAACACAGCACCGAAGCUCAGGAAUGCAGCAAUGCAUUGGUAGAGGAGCAUUGCCGGAGGGAUGAAGCGGUACCGAUAAGGAGCCGUGGACUUCCGGGAAGAGAGAAUGCCGGAAUGAGUAGCGAGAUGGAGGUGGGAAUCCUCCAGGCCGAAUAUCUAAGGUUUCCAGGGUAAAGCUGAUCUGCCCUGGGUAAGUCGGGACCUAAGGCGAGGCCGGAAGGCGUAGCCGAUGGACAACAGGCUGAAAUUCCUGUACCAUACCGGUACAGAACUGCGGGGACGCAUGGGGAGAGCGCGAGCCGGGAACGGAAAGCCCGGCGCAAGCACAGGCCCUGCCAUGAGGCAAAUCCUUAUGGGGGAGGGGGGCUGUGUGACGCGGAGCGAAAUAACAGUAGCGAAGAGCGCCGCCCCUGUGCCGAGAAAAGCCGCUAUCGUUACCGGUAUGCCCGUACCGUAAACCGACACAGGUGGAUGAGGAGAGAAUCCUAAGGCCGGCGGGAGAAGCAUUGUCAAGGAACUCGGCAAAAUGACCCCGUAACUUCGGGAGAAGGGGUGCCCACGUGAGUGGGCCGCAGAGAAUAGGCUCAAGCAACUGUUUAGCAAAAACACAGGUCUAUGCGAAACCGAAAGGUGAGGUAUAUGGGCUGACGCCUGCCCGGUGCUGGAAGGUUAAGAGGAGAGGUUAGCGCAAGCGAAGCUUUGAAUUCAAGCCCCAGUAAACGGCGGCCGUAACUAUAACGGUCCUAAGGUAGCGAAAUUCCUUGUCGGGUAAGUUCCGACCCGCACGAAAGGCGUAAUGAUUUGAGCGCUGUCUCGACAAUGCACCCGGUGAAAUUGAAGUACCAGUGAAGAUGCUGGUUACCCGCGCCAGGACGGAAAGACCCCAUGGAGCUUUACUCCAGUUUGGUACUGGGGUCCGGUACUGCACGUACAGGAUAGGUGGGAGACAAAGAAGCAUGGACGCCAGUCUGUGCAGAGUCGCUGUUGGGAUACCACCCCUGCAGUAUUGGGCUUCUAACCAGCCGCCGUAAUCCGGCGGUGGGACAAUGCCAGGCGGGGAGUUUGACUGGGGCGGUCGCCUCCGAAAGGGUAUCGGAGGCGCUCAAAGUUUCCCUCAGGAUGGUUGGAAACCAUCUAAAGAGUGCAAAGGCAGAAGGGAGGCUGACUGCGACACCGACGGGUGGAGCAGGUACGAAAGUAGGACUUAGUGAUCCGGUGGCACAAAGUGGGAUUGCCAUCGCUCAACGGAUAAAAGCUACCCUGGGGAUAACAGGCUUAUCACUCCCAAGAGUUCACAUCGACGGAGUGGUUUGGCACCUCGAUGUCGGCUCAUCGCAUCCUGGGGCUGGAGCAGGUCCCAAGGGUUGGGCUGUUCGCCCAUUAAAGCGGUACGCGAGCUGGGUUCAGAACGUCGUGAGACAGUUCGGUCCCUAUCCGGCGCGGGCGUAGGAUAUCUGAGGGGAGCUGGCCUUAGUACGAGAGGACCGGGCUGGACGGACCGCUGGUGGAUCUGCUGUGCCGCCAGGCGCAUCGCAGGGUAGCCAAGUCCGGAAGGGAUAAACGCUGAAGGCAUCUAAGCGUGAAGCCCACCCCAAGAUAAGAUAUCCCAUUCCAAAAGGAAGUAAGAACCCUUGAAGAGUACAAGGUAGAUAGGACAGAGGUGGAAGUGCAGUAAUGUAUGGAGCUGACUGUUACUAAUCGUUCGAGGGCUUAUCCAAG